This 495-nucleotide ribosomal RNA is filed under the name uncultured bacterium. Its description in RNAcentral is "partial 16S ribosomal RNA". It matches the Rfam family "Bacterial small subunit ribosomal RNA", at positions 28 to 505 of the family's 1533-position model. The record is from RNAcentral.
GAUGAACGCUGGCGGCGUGCCUAAUACAUGCAAGUCGAGCGAACAGACGAGGAGCUUGCUCCUCUGACGUUAGCGGCGGACGGGUGAGUAACACGUGGAUAACCUACCUAUAAGACUGGGAUAACUUCGGGAAACCGGAGCUAAUACCGGAUAAUAUAUUGAACCGCAUGGUUCAAUAGUGAAAGACGGUUUUGCUGUCACUUAUAGAUGGAUCCGCGCCGCAUUAGCUAGUUGGUAAGGUAACGGCUUACCAAGGCAACGAUGCGUAGCCGACCUGAGAGGGCGAUCGGCCACACUGGAACUGAGACACGGUCCAGACUCCUACGGGAGGCAGCAGUAGGGAAUCUUCCGCAAUGGGCGAAAGCCUGACGGAGCAACGCCGCGUGAGUGAUGAAGGUCUUCGGAUCGUAAAACUCUGUUAUUAGGGAAGAACAAAUGUGUAAGUAACUAUGCACGUCUUGACGGUACCUAAUCAGAAAGCCACGGCUAACUACG